This 293-nucleotide ribosomal RNA is filed under the name uncultured bacterium. RNAcentral's name for it is "partial 16S ribosomal RNA". It matches the Rfam family "Archaeal small subunit ribosomal RNA", at positions 455 to 747 of the family's 1478-position model. The record is from RNAcentral.
GUGCCAGCCGCCGCGGUAAUACCGGCAGCCCGAGUGAUGGCCGAUCUUAUUGGGCCUAAAGCGUCCGUAGCUGGCCGCACAAGUCCGUCGGGAAAUCCGCCCGCUCAACGGGCGGCCGUCCGGCGGAACCUGUGUGGCUUGGAACCGGAAGGCUCAGAGAGUACGUCCGGGGUAGGAGUGAAAUCCUAUAAUCCCGCACGGACCACCGAUGGCGAAAGCACUUCGAGAAAACGGAUCCGACAGUGAGGGACGAAAGCCAGGGUCUCCAACCGGAUUAGAAACCCUGGUAGUCC